UACGGAGGAUGCGAGCGUUAUCCGGAUUUAUUGGGUUCAAAGGGUGCGUAGGCGGCUUUUUAAGUCAGCGGUGAAAUUUUGCAGCUUAACUGUAACAGUUGCCGUUGAUACUGGGGAGCUAGGAUUUGGUUGCUGUGGGGUGGAAUGUGUGGUGUAGCGGUGAAAUGCUUAGAGAUCACACAGAAUAUCGAUUGCGAAGGCAGCUCACAAAGCCAAGAUUGACGCUGAGGCACGAAAGUGUGGGGAUCAAACAGGA
Molecule: ribosomal RNA, 256 nt
Filed under: uncultured prokaryote
Description: partial 16S ribosomal RNA
Rfam family: Bacterial small subunit ribosomal RNA
Source: RNAcentral